GCCAAGCACAAGGAAUUCAAAGGUAGUUAUUUAUUUACUUUUUCCAGCAUUUUAUUUUUGGACUGAAUUUCACUAAAGUUACUUUUAUAAGCUUGUAAAUUAUAAUAUUUCAGGAAACAAAGAAGUUCAACCUAUAUGCUAGCGAGAUGUGCAUAUACUUUAUGCUUCCCUUUUUUGCAAUGUUUGUAGGGAAGCUUUGCUUGUGGGAAAUCUCUUUGAGCUAUGAAGCCUAUGAUCUGUGAGAUUUUUCUAUAAUUAAUUGAAAAUGAGUUUUUUUUUUAAUUAAAAAAA
This 291-nucleotide unclassified non-coding RNA is filed under the name Hevea brasiliensis (rubber tree). The record is from RNAcentral. Lineage: Eukaryota; Viridiplantae; Streptophyta; Magnoliopsida; Malpighiales; Euphorbiaceae.